This 373-nucleotide ribosomal RNA is filed under the name uncultured organism. Its description in RNAcentral is "partial 16S ribosomal RNA". It matches the Rfam family "Bacterial small subunit ribosomal RNA", at positions 527 to 896 of the family's 1533-position model. The record is from RNAcentral.
GUAGGUGGCAAGCGUUGUCCGGAAUUAUUGGGCGUAAAGCGCGCGCAGGUGGUUCUUUAAGUCUGAUGUGAAAGCCCCCGGCUCAACCGGGGAGGGUCAUUGGAAACUGGGGAACUUGAGUGCAGGAGAGGAAAGUGGAAUUCCACGUGUAGCGGUGAAAUGCGUAGAUAUGUGGAGGAACACCAGUGGCGAAGGCGACUUUCUGGCCUGUAACUGACACUGAGGCGCGAAGGCGUGGGGAGCAAACAGGGAUUAGAUACCCUGGUAGUCCACGCCGUAAACGAUGAGUGCUAAGUGUUGGGGGGGUUUCCCGCCCCUCAGUGCUGCAGCUAACGCAUUAAGCACUCCGCCUGGGGAUACGGUCGCAAGUCUG